This 501-nucleotide ribosomal RNA is filed under the name Drimia altissima. RNAcentral's name for it is "eukaryotic LSU rRNA". It matches the Rfam family "Eukaryotic large subunit ribosomal RNA", at positions 1 to 493 of the family's 3401-position model. The record is from RNAcentral. Lineage: Eukaryota; Viridiplantae; Streptophyta; Magnoliopsida; Asparagales; Asparagaceae.
ACACGACCCCAGGUCAGGCGGGGACACCCGCUGAGUUUAAGCAUAUCAAUAAGCGGAGGAGAAGAAACUUACCAGGAUUCCCCUAGUAACGGCGAGCGAACCGGGAAGAGCCCAGCUUGGGAAUCGGGCGGCCGCGCCGCUCGAAUUGUAGUCUGGAGAAGCGUCCUCAGCGACGGACCGGGCCCAAGUCCCCUGGAAAGGGGCGCCAGGGAGGGUGAGAGCCCCGUCCGGCCCGGACCCUGCCGCACCACGAGGCGCUGUCGGCGAGUCGGGUUGUUUGGGAAUGCAGCCCCAAUUGGGCGGUAAAUUCCGUCCAAGGCUAAAUAGCGGCGAGAGACCGAUAGCGAACAAGUACCGCGAGGGAAAGAUGAAAAGGACUUUGAAAAGAGAGUCAAAGAGUGCUUGAAAUUGUCGGGAGGGAAGCGGAUGGGGGCCGGCGAUGCGCGCCGGCCGGAUGCGGAACGGUCCCCCCUCAGGGGGCCGGUCCGCCGCUCGGCUCGG